Molecule: ribosomal RNA, 116 nt
Filed under: Deltaproteobacteria bacterium
Lineage: Bacteria; Pseudomonadati; Myxococcota; Myxococcia
Source: RNAcentral
CUCGGUGGCUAUGGCGGAGGAGUCUACCCGAUCCCAUCUCGAACUCGGUCGUCAAGCCCUCCAGCGUCGAUGGUACUGCACAGGUGACUGUGUGGGAGAGUAGAACGCCGCCGGGG